Molecule: long non-coding RNA, 487 nt
Organism: Austrofundulus limnaeus
Lineage: Eukaryota; Metazoa; Chordata; Actinopteri; Cyprinodontiformes; Rivulidae
Exons: 2
Source: RefSeq, a predicted model, not a curated record
CUCGGAUACUCACGCACGCAGAGGCAGGCCAGCAGCUUGGCUCCGGUCUCCGGUACCGGGCAGACCGGAAACAGCGGCUUCAGGAGGUAAUCGGGGAUCCCUUUAAGAAUCGUCUCGUGAACACGUGGAGGCUCAGAGCUGCAGGACUAUUCAGUUUCUGUGACACACCCUGCAGGUCUGGUUCUGAUGCUCCUGAUGUGGACCCGUCCACCGACACACGUCCAGACAGAUCAUUUCCUGUCCAGACGAGGAGGACACCUUCAGGAUUUAUUCUCAAAAUUCAGCCCAAAGCUGGACUUUUCUAUAUGAACCAAAACCUGAAGAAUGCAGGACUUUAUUCAUGUUGGACCACAUCAGAAAUCCACCUUAAUCCAUGUCUGCGGUCCUGUGGGUCCAGAUGUGUCCCAGAGCAGGGUUCACUCAGGACACGGUGCGUGUGUGUCUCUGUUAAAAACAAACCGUGACAUUAAAGGACCUGUGGCAUUGA